Molecule: long non-coding RNA, 493 nt
Filed under: Carica papaya (papaya)
Lineage: Eukaryota; Viridiplantae; Streptophyta; Magnoliopsida; Brassicales; Caricaceae
Description: long non-coding RNA (CPAP_LNC008122)
Source: RNAcentral
CAUUAGUUAAUCCAUAAAGUAUAACCUUGAACUCGUACUGUUGUACCAAUAUCAAAAGUUCGUCUUGGGAUAUCUUCUUCCUUCACUCUCAACUGAUAUUAACCCAAUCUGAGAUCAAUAUUCGAGAAAGCAAUAGCACCUUGUAAUUGAUCGAAGAGCUUAUCAAUAUGGGAGGAAAAGGUAAUUAUUUUUUACCAUCACUAGAUUAAGUUCUCUGUAGUCAAUACAUGAUCAGAGAGAACCAUCUUUCUUCUUUACAAAUAGCACUGAGGCACUCUAAGGCAAAUGGCUAGGAUGAAUGAAUUUUUGCCCAAGAAGGUCAGAGAGCUGGUGCUCAAGUUUAGCGAGUUCGGUGUGGUACAUGCGGUAAACAGGCUUUAAGAUUGGUUCAGUUCCUCAAAGUAGAUUGAUGGAAAAUUCUAUUUCUUGUGGGGGAGGUAGACCAAGUAGUUCCUCUAGAAAGACAUCCAAAAAGGUACAAACCAUAGGGAUU